This 1963-nucleotide long non-coding RNA is filed under the name Physcomitrium patens. RNAcentral describes it as "long non-coding RNA (PPAT_LNC013294)". The record is from RNAcentral. Lineage: Eukaryota; Viridiplantae; Streptophyta; Bryopsida; Funariales; Funariaceae.
UGGAUUUUGUGAAAUAAAAUAGGAUUUAUGUUUUGGAUGAUUUCAAGAGUAUUGUAGCAAAUCUAUGAGUGAAAUUUUGUGGAUUAAUGAUUAUAGUUGUGUUUAAUAUGUUUUUUCAAUUUUAGCUCAAUCUAAUGGUUAAAAUGAGGGUUAUUGAGGUUUAAGUGGGUCAAGGUCUUAGAAAGUAGAAUUUUAAGUUUAGUGACGAUUUUUGUAAGAUUUCUUGCAAUCUACUAAUUGGAUUGGAGUGAAAUUUGUGUGAGAGGAUACUAGACUUGUUUUUCUAUGUGUAUGAGAAUUUUGAAAUCAAUCGAAUAAUGAAAAAGAGAGAUAUUGGCUUUAGAAGAUUGGCAUUAAAGUUGGAAAAGGAAGCCGGCCAAUACCCAAGCAUGUUUUUGAGGUUAUCGUCUAGUUGGUAAUUCUGAUCCUUUUCAAAAAAUUUAUGCGUGUUUCAACUUAGUUUUUAAGAAAUUUGAAAAAUUUGAAUUAAGAUCAACGAUACAUACAUUAGUUAUUGAGGUUUAAUUCUGUUAUAAAAAUUACUAGGAUUUGGUUAGGGUUUGAUUUAGGAUUUAGGAUUUAGUUAGGGUUUGAUUUAGGGUUUAGAGUUUGGUUAGGAUUUCAUUUAGGGUUUAGGAUUUGUUUAGGAUUUAGUUUAGAAUUUGAUUAGGGUUUGGUUUAAGAUUUGUUUAGGAUUAUGGUUUAGGAUUUAGAGUUUAGUAAGGAUUUGGUUUAGAAUUUAGAGUUUAGUUAGGAUUUCAUUUAGGAUUUAGGAUUUGAUUAAAAUUUGCUUUAGAAUUUAGAAUUUGAUUUAGGAUUUGGUUAGGAUUUGGUUUAAGGUUUAAGAUUUUGUUUAGGGUUUGGAUAGAAUUUGGUUCAGUAUUUGGAUAGAAUUUGAUUUAGGGUUGGUUAGGAUUUGGUUUAGGAUUUGAUUAGGGUUUGGUUUAGGAUUUAGGAUUUUAUUAAGAUUUAUUUAGGAUUUAAGAUUUAAUUAGUUUUGGCCUAAAAUUUGAAUGAAGUCCAAUAGGAUUUUAACUAGGAUUAAAUUAAGAUUGAAUUGAGAUGUCUUUGAGAUAUAUUUGUGAUCAUUCUAAUAUUUCUUUAAGAUUUCUUAUUAUUUCUUUGAAAUUUCUUUGAGAUUUCUUUGAAUUUGAUUAAAGCUUAUUUAGUAUUAUUAUGAUCUAAUUAGAGUUUAAUUAGUAUUCUAUUAGAGUUAAGAUUUUUUUGUUGCAAUUUCUAUUCUACCUUCUAUAGCCAAGUGUCCGGAGCAUUCUCAAGCAAGACUUCAUAUAUUACGACAACGUGUUUUUUUAUUGUAAUGUUUUCAUUCUUAAUAAUUAUAAUCUUUCAUUUAAUAUUGCUGAAUUUGCUUCCUAUCUCCCAUCUAACUACACAUUUAUCUUCACUUUUGAACCAAUUUUGAUUUUAUAACCUCUUCGUGCAACAUCCAAAACUACUCAUUCGGCAGUUAAUUCCUAAUGCUCAAUACUAUUGUUCAUUUUUGGCUAUGGCACCAAAAUGUGAUUUUCAUUUUACUUAUUCUACAAAUUUCUUUCAGAAUAAAUUUGUAGAGGGAGAUUUAAACAUAAGAAAAGACUAACUAUAUGAGCUUAUAUAUUAGGGUCACAAAUUAAUCAUAUUCUAAACCACUAAAAACACCAAAGAAUACUACAAUGCUUUCUCCUACUAACAAUACUCCUUCAUCAACUGUUAACAAUAAUGUGCAAUCUUGCACUCUCAAAAGACUACUCAAAAUACACAAAUUCCAUCCAAUAUUGAAAAUAAUAGUCUUCGACUCCAAUCAAUCUCGCUUCACACAAUUUCUGUAAUCACAGACUUCUUUUGUCAAAACACACACAACUUUUAAUUAACAACAAUCAUAAUCUUCCAUCCAGAAUUAAUCUUCCACAAAAUCUGAUAACAACUUUCUAAUAUCUUCUCAUAAUAAUUCAAUUACAUAAUA